This 586-nucleotide ribosomal RNA is filed under the name uncultured bacterium. Its description in RNAcentral is "partial 16S ribosomal RNA". It matches the Rfam family "Bacterial small subunit ribosomal RNA", at positions 355 to 1375 of the family's 1533-position model. The record is from RNAcentral.
UGGGGAAUUUUGGACAAUGGGCGAAAGCCUGAUCCAGCAAUGCCGCGUGUGUGAAGAAGGCCUUCGGGUUGUAAAGCACUUUUGUCCGGAAAGAAAUCCUUGGCUCUAAUGCAGUCGGGGGAUGACGGUACCGGAAGAAUAAGCACCGGCUAACUACGUGCCAGCAGCCGCGGUAAUACGUAGGGUGCAAGCGUUAAUCGGAAUUACUGGGCGUAAAGCGUGCGCAGGCGGUUUGCUAAGACCGAUGUGAAAUCCCCGGGCUCAACCUGGGAACUGCAUUGGUGACUGGCAGGCUAGAGUAUGGCAGAGGGGGGUAGAAUUCCACGUGUAGCAGUGAAAUGCGUAGAGAUGUGGAGGAAUACCGAUGGCGAAGGCAGCCCCCUGGGCCAAUACUGACGCUCAUGCACGAAAGCGUGGGGAGCAAACAGGAUUAGAUACCCUGGUAGUCCACGCCCUAAACGAUGUCAACUAGUUGUUGGGGAUUCAUUUCCUUAGUAACGUAGCUAACGCGUGAAGUUGACCGCCUGGGGGAGUACGGUCGCAAGAUUAAAACUCAAAGGAAUUGACGGGGUCAUAGCUGUUUCCU